AGAUGGCAGAAAGCAGGCCCAGAGAUGAUAAGAACUGUGGAGGCACGUCCAGUGUUCCUGGGGAAAAGAAGAAUGAACUUUUCUUUAACCUCCAUGCAUGACACCUCAUCUUUACAAAUGCAGAUGGCAGAGUUGAAGAAGGCAGUAGCUAAGUGGUGGUGAUAUUCCUUGGAUGUUCAUCUCAAGAGAUGGAGAAGAAAACAGCAAUCACCUGGCAGCCAGUGGAAAGUCAGAACACAGAGGCAUAAACAGACGCGUUCCUACAGAUCUAGUCAAAAAGGCUCAGGAACUUGGAAACAUGGGACAGGAGAGUGCCAGAGACCUCAGAGCAUUGCACCAGGUGCAAUCCCUGCACCAGGAUGGUGGGAUGGGAUUUCCAUUAGCAGGAUAAGCUGGAGACCUGGGAAAAAAGAGGUACCUAAACUACUGAUUUG
Long non-coding RNA from Calidris pugnax (ruff), 434 nucleotides. RefSeq lists it as uncharacterized. The transcript is spliced from 3 exons. The record is from RefSeq and is a predicted model, not a curated record. NCBI's taxonomy places the organism in Eukaryota, Metazoa, Chordata, Aves, Charadriiformes, Scolopacidae.